Molecule: ribosomal RNA, 119 nt
Organism: Lepisosteus oculatus (spotted gar)
Lineage: Eukaryota; Metazoa; Chordata; Actinopteri; Semionotiformes; Lepisosteidae
Source: Ensembl
AUCAGCAGCCAUAUCACCCUGCAACUCACAACUGGCAACCCACUGAAGCUAAGCAGGCGUGAGCCUGGUCAGUACCUGCAAGGGAGACCUCUUGGGAAAAACUAAGGCUGCUGCUGGAA